Molecule: ribosomal RNA, 252 nt
Filed under: uncultured bacterium
Lineage: Bacteria
Description: partial 16S ribosomal RNA
Rfam family: Bacterial small subunit ribosomal RNA
Source: RNAcentral
UACGGAGGAUGCGAGCGUUAUCCGGAUUUAUUGGGCUUAAAGGGUGCGUAGGCGGACGCUUAAGUCAGCGGUAAAAUUGCGGGGCUCAACCUCGUCGAGCCGUUGAAACUGGGUGCCUUGAGUGGGCGAGAAGUACGCGGAAUGCGUGGUGUAGCGGUGAAAUGCAUAGAUAUCACGCAGAACUCCGAUUGCGAAGGCAGCGUACCGGCGCCCUACUGACGCUGAAGCACGAAGGCGUGGGUAUCGAACAGG